AAGUCGUAACAAGGUUUCCGUAGGUGAACCUGCGGAAGGAUCAUUAAUGAAUAAACUUGGUUAAGUUGCUGCUGGCUCUUAGGGGCAUGUGCACGCUUAAUCCAUCUUUAUAACCACCUGUGCACUUUGUGUAGAUCUGAAAAAGUCGAGGAAACUCGGUUUGGGAAUUGCUGCGCGAAAGCCAGCUAUUCCUACUUUCAAAUCUAUGUUUUCACAUACCCCAUUGAAUGUAUUCGAAUGUUGUAAUAGGCCUCUGUGCCUUUAAAACCUAAUACAACUUUCAACAACGGAUCUCUUGGCUCUC
RNAcentral lists this unclassified non-coding RNA (304 nucleotides) under Entoloma sp. RNAcentral's name for it is "partial internal transcribed spacer region". The stretch from base 1 to 46 matches the Rfam family "Eukaryotic small subunit ribosomal RNA", at positions 1786 to 1831 of the family's 1831-position model. Lineage: Eukaryota; Fungi; Basidiomycota; Agaricomycetes; Agaricales; Entolomataceae. The record is from RNAcentral.